AAAUUGAAACAAUAGGUAUACGCAACACUGUUCCUUUAUACGUUACUUCUGAAUAAUAACAAGUAAGUUGCUUCGCUCUAAAUCUCCAAUCAGGAACAAACUAUCGAUUAUCGAUGACGCUUUGAAUAAGUUCACUGACAUAUAAGCCGAUGUCAAUAAACAUUUCUCUUAACUAUCAUUCGAUUACGGGCAUUCUCAUUUAAUCUAUAUUAAUUUCAAAAAAAAAAACCAAUUAUCCUCUGAUACUUUCUUUGUAUACUGCAGGACAUUUCUUUCGAUGAUGACGUCAUUUAAGAAAUCGGAAACUGGUUUCACUCUUCUUUUAUCGCGAAUAGAAUACGAUAAUGCACGCGUGUAGGAGUAGUUUCUUAUACCAGUCCUGUCUUUACCGGUCAACGUAGUCAACCAUAGUGUUGGCCGUAAUUCAAGUCCGAAUAUUUCAUCGCCGGUUGUUUACUUUUUCCGAGAAUUCCUACCAUUCGCGAGGAAACAUUGAGUUUACAUGAGAAUCUCGGAGCGCCACUCAGUUCAAAAAAAGAAUUUUGAUAAAAAAGAAACUAUGAUAACUUGCCGGCAAAGAUAAAACGAAGAAUUCUUGUCUCCUGAUUUGUGUCUUUUGAAUUGAUUUCUUCUGUACGAUUACUGUUUUUUUUUUUUGUUUUCUAUGAAACGUUAACAUGUCACAGAUAAGAAACACGGAUGCAACAUAAUUGAAGAGCGUCACUGAUCUUGUGUAACGAUUAUCGCGGAGAGAUUUGCGAAUCGUGGGCGUUAACUACAUAACUAUUCGUAAGCAUCUGUUACCGUCGCUCGAAGAGAAGAGAAAGUUCGUUGCAAUGAGGUGACAACCUGAUAUUUUUAUCUUGUAACAUUAUAUGUAAUAUUUUAUGGUGAGUACAUCCGUAAUUGGCGAGGAUUACAGUUCCAACUUUCCUUGGAACGUGUUACAUCGUACACAUUAACACGUUAACUAUAAAUUUUUAUGACAUUUUUAGAAGUUCGCAAAUUAUAUACAAAUUUUUCCUAUGAUCGAAAAUCAAUAAUAAUAAUAACGAAAUAAUUGAAAACAUUUUGUAGCAAGUAAAGUCAACCCUGAACCUCGAAACAACUAGAAGAGAUAGAAUGACUCACGCAAAUCAAUAUCCCUCCAAGCAUAUUUAUCGUUUAUAUCCAAGAAAAGCAUGGUAUAGCACAUUUGAUUUGCAGAUAAAUGUAUUUAUCUUUUAGAAUUUUAUCAAUACAGCAUCGUUAAUACACGUUUCGAAGGGAGUUCGUUCGAAUUGGCAUCUCAGUCGGUGCACCCAAAGGGGGAACCACAAGCAAGGGGAAACAUGCAAAAUAUAAAGCCGUAUAAAUUUAAAUGGCACUCGUCCAAACAUGAAGAAAAGAAGAACAAGAAAAAAGUAACAAUAAACAAAAAUGUAAUAUUUAUAAAAUAAACAAAAUGAAGAAAUUGAUUGAUUAUUAGAUCAAUUAUAGACAAAUUAAGAUUCCAGAUAACAAGAAUGUGUUUUUAUAUUAUAUUCCAAUACAAUCCCAUCAAGAGUUCGUGCGAAAGUACAUUAACCUAAAACAAGAUGAACACUCUCCCGUACCUUUGCUUUACUUGUUUACGUAUAAAAGACAGAGAAUACAAGGAAAGAAAGAGAAAAAGGAAGAACAAAACUAUGAGCAUUUUACUGUAGAUAGACGUAAACAGUGAAGAAAUGGUUGGAGGAGCAAGGACUUAACUUGUAUAUAUUUUUUCUAUGGUUAAAAUGUAUCGACACUAUAUAUCAUGGAUUCAAAUUUACAACUAUCACAAUAUU
This 1808-nucleotide long non-coding RNA is filed under the name Apis florea (little honeybee). RNAcentral describes it as "uncharacterized LOC116415269". The record is from RNAcentral. Lineage: Eukaryota; Metazoa; Arthropoda; Insecta; Hymenoptera; Apidae.